CACGCCGUAAACGAUGAGUGCUAGGUGUCGGGGGGAACCCUCGGUGCCGCAGCUAACGCAAUAAGCACUCCACCUGGGGAGUACGAUCGCAAGAUUGAAACUCAAAGGAAUUGACGGGGGCCCGCACAAGCGGUGGAGCAUGUGGUUUAAUUCGAAGCAACGCGAAGAACCUUACCAAGGCUUGACAUCCCUCUGACCGGUGUAGAGAUACACCUUCUCUUCGGAGCAGAGGUGACAGGUGG
RNAcentral lists this ribosomal RNA (242 nucleotides) under uncultured bacterium. Its description in RNAcentral is "partial 16S ribosomal RNA". It matches the Rfam family "Bacterial small subunit ribosomal RNA", at positions 796 to 1041 of the family's 1533-position model. The record is from RNAcentral.